CAUAUACUCCCUCGGUUCCGAAUUACUUGUCUUAGAUUUGUCUAGAUACGGAUGUAUCUAGCACUAAAAUGAGUCUAGAUACAUUUGUAUCUAGACAAAUCCAAGACAAGUAAUUUAGAAUAGAGGGAGUAUAUA
Molecule: non-coding RNA, 135 nt
Organism: Triticum urartu
Lineage: Eukaryota; Viridiplantae; Streptophyta; Magnoliopsida; Poales; Poaceae
Source: Rfam